Molecule: ribosomal RNA, 1007 nt
Filed under: Staphylococcus aureus
Lineage: Bacteria; Bacillati; Bacillota; Bacilli; Caryophanales; Staphylococcaceae
Description: partial 23S ribosomal RNA
Rfam family: Bacterial large subunit ribosomal RNA
Source: RNAcentral
UGAAACCGUGUGCUUACAAGUAGUCAGAGCCCGUUAAUGGGUGAUGGCGUGCCUUUUGUAGAAUGAACCGGCGAGUUACGAUUUGAUGCAAGGUUAAGCAGUAAAUGUGGAGCCGUAGCGAAAGCGAGUCUGAAUAGGGCGUUUAGUAUUUGGUCGUAGACCCGAAACCAGGUGAUCUACCCUUGGUCAGGUUGAAGUUCAGGUAACACUGAAUGGAGGACCGAACCGACUUACGUUGAAAAGUGAGCGGAUGAACUGAGGGUAGCGGAGAAAUUCCAAUCGAACCUGGAGAUAGCUGGUUCUCUCCGAAAUAGCUUUAGGGCUAGCCUCAAGUGAUGAUUAUUGGAGGUAGAGCACUGUUUGGACGAGGGGCCCCUCUCGGGUUACCGAAUUCAGACAAACUCCGAAUGCCAAUUAAUUUAACUUGGGAGUCAGAACAUGGGUGAUAAGGUCCGUGUUCGAAAGGGAAACAGCCCAGACCACCAGCUAAGGUCCCAAAAUAUAUGUUAAGUGGAAAAGGAUGUGGCGUUGCCCAGACAACUAGGAUGUUGGCUUAGAAGCAGCCAUCAUUUAAAGAGUGCGUAAUAGCUCACUAGUCGAGUGACACUGCGCCGAAAAUGUACCGGGGCUAAACAUAUUACCGAAGCUGUGGAUUGUCCUUUGGACAAUGGUAGGAGAGCGUUCUAAGGGCGUUGAAGCAUGAUCGUAAGGACAUGUGGAGCGCUUAGAAGUGAGAAUGCCGGUGUGAGUAGCGAAAGACGGGUGAGAAUCCCGUCCACCGAUUGACUAAGGUUUCCAGAGGAAGGCUCGUCCGCUCUGGGUUAGUCGGGUCCUAAGCUGAGGCCGACAGGCGUAGGCGAUGGAUAACAGGUUGAUAUUCCUGUACCACCUAUAAUCGUUUUAAUCGAUGGGGGGACGCAGUAGGAUAGGCGAAGCGUGCGAUUGGAUUGCACGUCUAAGCAGUAAGGCUGAGUAUUAGGCAAAUCCGGUACUCGUUAAGGCUGAGC